This 194-nucleotide ribosomal RNA is filed under the name uncultured bacterium. Its description in RNAcentral is "partial 16S ribosomal RNA". It matches the Rfam family "Bacterial small subunit ribosomal RNA", at positions 338 to 524 of the family's 1533-position model. The record is from RNAcentral.
CCUACGGGAGGCAGCAGUGGGGAAUUUUGGACAAUGGGCGCAAGCCUGAUCCAGCAAUGCCGCGUGCAGGAUGAAGGCCUUCGGGUUGUAAACUGCUUUUGUACGGAACGAAAAGUCUUGGGUUAAUACCCUGGGAUCAUGACGGUACCGUAAGAAUAAGCACCGGCUAACUACGUGCCAGCAGCCGCGGUAAU